RNAcentral lists this ribosomal RNA (457 nucleotides) under uncultured bacterium. Its description in RNAcentral is "bacterial SSU rRNA". It matches the Rfam family "Bacterial small subunit ribosomal RNA", at positions 29 to 531 of the family's 1533-position model. The record is from RNAcentral.
AACGAACGCUGGCGGCAGGCUUAACACAUGCAAGUCGAACGCCCCGCAAGGGGAGUGGCAGACGGGUGAGUAACGCGUGGGAACGUACCUUUCAGUUCGGAAUAACUCAGGGAAACUUGUGCUAAUACCGGAUACGCCCGCAAGGGGAAAGAUUUAUCGCUGAAAGAUCGGCCCGCGUUGGAUUAGCUAGUUGGUGGGGUAAAGGCCUACCAAGGCGACGAUCCAUAGCUGGUCUGAGAGGAUGAUCAGCCACACUGGGACUGAGACACGGCCCAGACUCCUACGGGAGGCAGCAGUGGGGAAUAUUGGACAAUGGGCGCAAGCCUGAUCCAGCCAUGCCGCGUGUGUGAUGAAGGCCUUAGGGUUGUAAAGCACUUUCACCGAUGAAGAUAAUGACGGUAGUCGGAGAAGAAGCCCCGGCUAACUUCGUGCCAGCAGCCGCGGUAAAGUCUGUACU